This is a long non-coding RNA of Ochotona curzoniae (black-lipped pika), 127 nucleotides long. RefSeq lists it as uncharacterized. The record is from RefSeq and is a predicted model, not a curated record. The transcript has 3 exons. NCBI's taxonomy places the organism in Eukaryota, Metazoa, Chordata, Mammalia, Lagomorpha, Ochotonidae.
UCAGAGUUUUCAGCCUACAAGGGUACUCCAUUUCGCCAUGGUCUCCUUGGCAGUUGGGAUAUAGUUCUGGGUGCCUGUACUGAUAUUCCUUGGUGAGGGUCUGGGAAUCUUGAUACAGGGUGGGGAU